Molecule: ribosomal RNA, 243 nt
Filed under: uncultured bacterium
Lineage: Bacteria
Description: partial 16S ribosomal RNA
Rfam family: Bacterial small subunit ribosomal RNA
Source: RNAcentral
UCGGGACGGGGUCGGGAGGUAACGCGUGGGUAACCCGCCCCAUACAGGGGGAGUAACAGUUGGAAACGGCUGCUAAUACCGCAUAAGCGCACGAGAGGACAUCCUCUUGUGUGAAAAACUCCGGUGGUACAGGAUGGGCCCGCGUCUGAUUAGCUGGUUGGCAGGGUAACGGCCUACCAAGGCGACGAUCAGUAGCCGGUCUGAGAGGAUGAACGGCCACAUUGGAACUGAGACACGGUCCAA